This 484-nucleotide ribosomal RNA is filed under the name uncultured bacterium. RNAcentral's name for it is "partial 16S ribosomal RNA". It matches the Rfam family "Bacterial small subunit ribosomal RNA", at positions 30 to 507 of the family's 1533-position model. The record is from RNAcentral.
AUUGAACGCUGGCGGCAGGCCUAACACAUGCAAGUCGAGCGGAUGAAGGGAGCUUGCUCCUGGAUUCAGCGGCGGACGGGUGAGUAAUGCCUAGGAAUCUGCCUGGUAGUGGGGGAUAACGUCCGGAAACGGGCGCUAAUACCGCAUACGUCCUGCGGGAGAAAGUGGGGGAUCUUCGGACCUCACGCUAUCAGAUUAGCCUAGGUCGGAUUAGCUAGUUGGUGGGGUAAAGGCCUACCAAGGCGACGAUCCGUAACUGGUCUGAGAGGAUGAUCAGUCACACUGGAACUGAGACACGGUCCAGAGUCCUACGGGAGGCAGCAGUGGGGAAUAUUGGACAAUGGGCGAAAGCCUGAUCCAGCCAUGCCGCGUGUGUGAAGAAGGUCUUCGGAUUGUAAAGCACUUUAAGUUGGGAGGAAGGGCAGUAAGUUAAUACCUUGCUGUUUUGACGUUACCAACAGAAUAAGCACCGGCUAACUUCGUG